AUCUGGGCGGCGGAAUUCAGGAUGGCUGGCGCGUCUUCGCGGCGCGUCAGUCGUUUGAUAUUUCCGUCGUCAACACGCAGACGUCGCGACCUGUUCGCGGUCGGUCGAGGAGCCGCGUUCGAGUUCGUUGUGUGCGCGUUUCGGCGUGCCACGCGGCGAAGGCGCGGAUCUCUGGCUGGCCGUCGGACAGUAUGCUCAACGGUGUCCGGUGUCGCCAUCGCGCGUGCACCGGUACCGGUCAGCGACGAAUUCUUCGGGCCUCUUUCCGACCCGUCUUGAAACACGGACCAAGGAGUCUAACAUGCGCGCGAGUCGCGGGGUGUCGAGCGUACUUCGGUGCGUUCGUUACGUUUGCGAAACCCGUACAUGUCGAAGGCGUAAUGAAAGUGAAUGGGGAAGAUGGUGUUCCGAGUUCACGUUCCGCGAUCGCUGGUAUCGCGGCCGGACACCCGCAUUCCCGGGGCGUCUCAACGGCCCGUCGCUGACGCGGACCGUCGUCUCUCGGGGCGGCUGUCGGUCGGCGAUGAACCGA
RNAcentral lists this ribosomal RNA (532 nucleotides) under Pseudischnaspis bowreyi. RNAcentral's name for it is "eukaryotic LSU rRNA". Lineage: Eukaryota; Metazoa; Arthropoda; Insecta; Hemiptera; Diaspididae. The record is from RNAcentral.